UCAUUCAGACACAAAUCUAAUUAAAUUACAGCUAUUGUGUGUCCAAGCUAUGCUUACGCGGAUCUGAAAACGCUCCAUUCUAUUUUCUGUUUAAAGACCAUUGGGAUUCUCGGUUUUGUCGGAUUUAUAUACACCUUCAAAAAUGUGAAGGCUGAAUGUCAUUGGCUUAUGUAAUAUUUACUAGAACAGAAAGUAUCAAAGGACUGAAGUACUGAACAUCGGAUGA
Molecule: long non-coding RNA, 226 nt
Filed under: Mytilus galloprovincialis (Mediterranean mussel)
Lineage: Eukaryota; Metazoa; Mollusca; Bivalvia; Mytilida; Mytilidae
Source: RNAcentral